GACGAACGCUGGCGGCGUGCCUAAUACAUGCAAGUAGAACGCUGAAGGAGGAGCCUGCUCUUCUGGAUGAGUUGCGAACGGGUGAGUAACGCGUAGGUAACCUGCCUGGUAGCGGGGGAUAACUAUUGGAAACGAUAGCUAAUACCGCAUAAGAGUAGAUGUUGCAUGACAUUUGCUUAAAAGGUGCAAUUGCAUCACUACCAGAUGGACCUGCGUUGUAUUAGCUAGUUGGUGGGGUAACGGCUCACCAAGGCGACGAUACAUAGCCGACCUGAGAGGGUGAUCGGCCACACUGGGACUGAGACACGGCCCAGACUCCUACGGGAGGCAGCAGUAGGGAAUCUUCGGCAAUGGACGGAAGUCUGACCGAGCAACGCCGCGUGAGUGAAGAAGGUUGUCGGAUCGUAAAGCUCUGUUGUAAGAGAAGAACGAGUGUGAGAGUGGAAAGUUCACACUGUGACGGUAUCUUACCAGAAAGGGACGGCUAACUACGUG
RNAcentral lists this ribosomal RNA (495 nucleotides) under uncultured bacterium. RNAcentral's name for it is "partial 16S ribosomal RNA". It matches the Rfam family "Bacterial small subunit ribosomal RNA", at positions 28 to 507 of the family's 1533-position model. The record is from RNAcentral.